This 256-nucleotide ribosomal RNA is filed under the name uncultured archaeon. RNAcentral's name for it is "partial 16S ribosomal RNA". It matches the Rfam family "Bacterial small subunit ribosomal RNA", at positions 521 to 776 of the family's 1533-position model. The record is from RNAcentral.
UAAUACAGAGGGUGCAAGCGUUAAUCGGAAUUACUGGGCGUAAAGCGCACGUAGGUGGCUGGGUAAGUUGGAUGUGAAAUCCCCGGGCUUAACUUGGGAAUUGCAUUCAAGACUGCCUUGCUAGAGUGUGGAAGAGGGAAGCGGAAUUCCAGGUGUAGCGGUGAAAUGCGUAGAUAUCUGGAGGAACAUCAGUGGCGAAGGCGGCUUCCUGGUCCAACACUGACACUGAGGUGCGAAAGCGUGGGGAGCAAACAGG